This 245-nucleotide ribosomal RNA is filed under the name uncultured bacterium. RNAcentral's name for it is "partial small subunit ribosomal RNA". It matches the Rfam family "Bacterial small subunit ribosomal RNA", at positions 26 to 285 of the family's 1533-position model. The record is from RNAcentral.
AGAAUCAACGCUGGCGGCGUGCCUAACACAUGCAAGUCGAACGAGAAAGUGGAGCAAUCCAUGAGUAAAGUGGCGCACGGGUGAGUAACACGUGACUAACCUACCCUUGAGUGGGGGAUAACCUAGAGAAAUCUGGGCUAAUACCGCAUAAUACCUUCGGGUCAAAGGAGCAAUUCGCUUCAGGAGGGGGUCGCGGCAGAUUAGAUAGUUGGCGGGGUAAUGGCCCACCAAGUCAGUGAUCUGUA